This 362-nucleotide unclassified non-coding RNA is filed under the name soil metagenome. Its description in RNAcentral is "partial contains 5.8S ribosomal RNA, internal transcribed spacer 2, and large subunit ribosomal RNA". The stretch from base 1 to 120 matches the Rfam family "5.8S ribosomal RNA", at positions 35 to 154 of the family's 154-position model. The record is from RNAcentral.
GAUGAAGAACGUAGUGAAAUGCGAUACGUAAUGUGAAUUGCAGAAUUCAGUGAAUCAUCGAAUCUUUGAACGCACAUUGCGCCCGCCAGCAUUCUGGCGGGCAUGCCUGUCCGAGCGUCAUUUCAACCCUCAGGGUCCCCCCGCCUCGCGCGGUCGGAGCCUGGUGUUGGGGAUCGGCCCGCCCCGCGCGGCGCCGUCCCCCAAAUACAGUGGCGGUCCCGCCGCAGCCUCCCCUGCGCAGUAGUUAUCAACUCGCACUGGAGCGCGGCGCGGCCACGCCGUAAAACCCCCGACUUUCAGAAAGUUGACCUCGGAUCAGGUAGGAAUACCCGCUGAACUUAAGCAUAUCAAUAAGCGGAGGA